AGUGAACGCUGGCGGUAGGCCUAACACAUGCAAGUCGAACGGCAGCACAGUAAGAGCUUGCUCUUACGGGUGGCGAGUGGCGGACGGGUGAGGAAUACAUCGGAAUCUACUUUUUCGUGGGGGAUAACGUAGGGAAACUUACGCUAAUACCGCAUACGACCUACGGGUGAAAGCAGGGGAUCUUCGGACCUUGCGCGAUUGAAUGAGCCGAUGUCGGAUUAGCUAGUUGGCGGGGUAAAGGCCCACCAAGGCGACGAUCCGUAGCUGGUCUGAGAGGAUGGUCAGCCACACUGGAACUGAGACAGGGUCCAGACGCCUGAGGGAGGCAGCAGUGGGGAAUAUUGGACAGUGGGCGCAAACCUGAUCCAACCAUACCGCGUGGGUGAAGAAGGCCUUCGGGUUGUAAAGCCCUUUUGUUGGGAAAGAAAAGCAGCAGGUUAAUACCCCGCUGUUCUGACGGUACCCAAAGAAUAAGCACCGGCUAACUUCGUG
This 492-nucleotide ribosomal RNA is filed under the name uncultured bacterium. RNAcentral's name for it is "partial 16S ribosomal RNA". It matches the Rfam family "Bacterial small subunit ribosomal RNA", at positions 29 to 507 of the family's 1533-position model. The record is from RNAcentral.